GGGUUUUUAGUUAAAUAAAAUAAUAUUAAUCUGUCAGGUUAAAGUUUCAUGGGUUGAAAAAUCUU
This 65-nucleotide transfer RNA is filed under the name Asiomorpha coarctata. Its description in RNAcentral is "tRNA-Asp". The record is from RNAcentral. Lineage: Eukaryota; Metazoa; Arthropoda; Diplopoda; Polydesmida; Paradoxosomatidae.